CAAGAGCGUAUGUAAAAGUUGUUGCAGUUAAAAAGCUCGUAGUUGAACCUUGGGUUUGGUUGGCCGGUCCGCUUUUUUGCGAGUACUGGAUUCAACCGAGCCUUUCCUUCUGGCUAACCAGUCGUUUCGGCGGCUGGCGAACCAGGAUUUUUACUUUGAGAAAAUUAGAGUGUUCAAAGCAGGCAUUAGCUUGAAUAUACUAGCAUGGAAUAAUAGAAUAGGACGUUAUGGUUCUAUUUUGUUGGUUUCUAGGACCAUCGUAAUGAUUAAUAGGGACGGUCGGGGGCAUCAGUAUUCAGUUGUCAGAGGUGAAAUUCUUGGAUUUACUGAAGACUAACUACUGCGAAAGCAUUUGCCAAGGACGUUUUCAUUAA
RNAcentral lists this ribosomal RNA (374 nucleotides) under uncultured eukaryote. RNAcentral describes it as "partial 18S ribosomal RNA". It matches the Rfam family "Eukaryotic small subunit ribosomal RNA", at positions 592 to 976 of the family's 1831-position model. The record is from RNAcentral.